AUUGAACGCUGGCGGCAUGCCUUACACAUGCAAGUCGAACGGUAACAGGUCUUCGGAUGCUGACGAGUGGCGAACGGGUGAGUAAUACAUCGGAACGUGCCCGAUCGUGGGGGAUAACGAGGCGAAAGCUUUGCUAAUACCGCAUACGAUCUCCGGAUGAAAGCGGGGGAUCUUCGGACCUCGCGCGGACGGGGCGGCCGAUGGGAGAUUAGGUAGUUGGUGGGAUAAAAGCUUACCAAGCCGACGAUCUGUAGCUGGUCUGAGAGGAUGAUCAGCCACACUGGAACUGAGACACGGCCCAGACUCCUACGGGAGGCAGCAGUGGGGAAUUUUGGACAAUGGGCGAAAGCCUGAUCCAGCCAUGCCGCGUGCAGGAUGAAGGCCUUCGGGUUGUAAACUGCUUUUGUACGGAACGAAAAGCCUCUUUCUAAUAAAGAGGGGUCAUGACGGUACCGUAAGAAUAAGCACCGGCUAACUACGUG
RNAcentral lists this ribosomal RNA (482 nucleotides) under uncultured bacterium. Its description in RNAcentral is "partial 16S ribosomal RNA". It matches the Rfam family "Bacterial small subunit ribosomal RNA", at positions 30 to 507 of the family's 1533-position model. The record is from RNAcentral.